RNAcentral lists this ribosomal RNA (254 nucleotides) under uncultured bacterium. RNAcentral's name for it is "partial 16S ribosomal RNA". It matches the Rfam family "Bacterial small subunit ribosomal RNA", at positions 524 to 776 of the family's 1533-position model. The record is from RNAcentral.
CACGUAGGGGGCAAGCGUUGUCCGGAUUUAUUGGGCGUAAAGAGCUCGUAGGCGGCUCAGUAAGUCGGGUGUGAAACCUCCAGGCUCAACCUGGAGACGCCACCCGAUACUGCUGUGGCUUGAGUCCGGUAGGAGAGCGUGGAAUUCCUGGUGUAGCGGUGAAAUGCGCAGAUAUCAGGAGGAACACCAGCGGCGAAGGCGGCGCUCUGGGCCGGAACUGACGCUGAGGAGCGAAAGCGUGGGUAGCAAACAGG